UAUUGUAUUCUGUGUAGUUGCUAAUUUUAAUAAUUUAGGAUGCAAUUAAGUCUUCAAAUGAUUUUCCUGUUUCUGGCCUUGGUAAGUUUGUUAUAAUUUUGUUCAUACUUGUUCACAACGUAUUACUGACCAUGACUUUUAAUUUUUUUUUUUUACAUUUUUCACAUGGUACGAUAUGAAACCUUAAACGGUAUAUAACUCAUUUAUUAACUUUUUAGCAUCAAAAAUUUCAUACAAAAUACUGAAUAGUGCGUUGAAUGCAUCAAUUAAGAAUAUGAUGAAUGUUCGAAUAUUACUUUAAUUGAACAUUACGUAAUUCUAUUAUGAUAGAAAAGCAUCAACAUCAUGGCAGAAAACCUCAUCAAUAUAAGUCAUAUAUAUAUACAUACUGGAAGGGCAAUAAAUACAUCACAAUUAUAAUAGUAAAUCGUCUUCGUCUAAAAUUUAUCUUUUUACAGUUACUUUCAUAGUGUCUUACACACAGUUCCAAGGUUGGGCUGUAUUUUUCCAUUUUACGUAUGUAAGCUUCGCCAAUACUUUGUGUUUUCUACAUAAUUCAACUUGUCUUUUGUUUAUCACGAGAAAAAAAAUCAUUGGGUAGUCCCCAAUAUUUGUUAAAUAUGCCUGCAGCAUGCUUCAAGUCUGAGAUAACUCCGGAACUAUCCGAUUUUUUUUUUCAUUCGAAACAUGAAUACACAGCUUUAAGUCCAUUGUGGAAAUCUUAACAAAAUGUGCAUUUGACUACCAAAAACUAAGAAAAUAAGUUAUAAACAAGCACGCUCCAUUUACUUAAGGAGCUAAACAAGUAGCACCUUUUUUUUUAUAAAAAGAAAUCCUAAAUAAAUGACAAAAAAGAAUAAAGCAAGUUCAUAAGAAAAUAACCAUAGUUAUCGGUCUAUUAGGAUACAUGUAUGCUUUAUAAGUACCUUCUCCACACUGCAAAACAGUUCGUACGACUGUAUGGACUGGGAAUCAUAUAUACAAACCUUUUAUUUCGACUAAUAUGUAUCGUUCGAGUAUAUUCUUAGAACACCUUAUUUUCAAAGUGUACUUAUCACGCAAAACCCUCUGAAUAAGAGUAUCAGAAAAAAGUCUGACUUCUACAUUUAAGGCAAUAAAACUCACCAUCCAAAAUUGGUUUCCAGAUUUGAUGCUGGUGUCUCAGUUAACUAAUGCAAUGUUUUAAAUUGUUAGAUAGGCGAUUAUAAUGUAAUAUGUCGCCGUGUUGAUAGUGAUACUUAACUGAUUCAAGAUUGGCUCUAAGUAUUGUGAAUGCAUCGCUGGAGUCAUUUACCUUUUCGUUUGAUCUUCUUAAUUGGUUAAUGAACAUUAAUAAACGGCUGUUUUACAUUUUCAAGUUGUAAAUUAAUAUGUCUAUGAAGGUUUUAGUAUUAUAAAUCAGAAACAAAAACAAAAAACUACCAAAUGAACAGAAUGGCUACAAAAUAGAACCAUUUCGUUUAACAUAAUCAUUAUCAUCAUUGCAGAAUAUUGGUGUAGUAUCGAGUGAUAAUAUUUGCGACCUUCCGGACGUUGUUGGUCCAUGUAAAGCAUCGAUAAAAAGAUUUUAUUAUCAAAGAAUAACUGGGCAGUGUAAAAGGUUCUUAUAUAGUGGUUGUGAGGGCAAUAAUAACAAUUUCAAAACGAGACGAGAUUGUGUAACAGCAUGCAGAAAACGAGGUACUGGUAUUUCGUAUGCUUGAUAAGGUCACUCAAAUAAUCAUUGUUAAUGUUUCUAUAUAUUCGCUAAGCGUCUUAUUGGAUAUUCAGAGUUGUAGAGUUUAUCAGUUAACAUGUGUUAUUUAGUUUAUAGUUGUUUGGCAUCUUCAUUUAACAUUCAUUAUCCUUAUAUUGUUUUGAUAAUUAUCAAACAAAAUUGGGAUUUCUAAAUUAAGGUGAUACAACCGAAUCUUAAAUUUAUCAAGUACACAGUUUUAGAGCUUUUUUAAAACAAUCAUAUAUUCCAAUUUAAAUUCGAUGAGCUUUUAAUACCGGCACAUAUCUAUAACUAUAUAUUGUAUUUGCAUAUGCUUUUCUAAGAUAAAUGACAAAGCAGUUGAGAAGUAAAUAAAACGAAGACUUCAGCCGCUUUUACCAUAAUUCAUGCAUAUGGGAAAGUAAACUCUAUAUACGGCAAAUGAUUACAAUCAUGUACUCCAAAUAGGCCUAACGACAAAAAAAAAAGACCCGUUACCGACGUUCUAAAACGUUGUUGUAAACACAAUAAGAAAUUGAACAGCAUCUUAAGCAUUCAGAGUCAUAAAGAUUUGCUUAAAAACAUCUAAUGUAAUUCAUUCCUUGCGUAGAAAAUCAUUAUAAUUUCGAAAACAAAACAGUUUGUUUCAACACCUCAAGUGAAUUUAUAGUUCUGAUCUGUUCAAUUAUAAAUCAUGUCAAUGUAAAAUGCAAACUAUACGGAGGUAUGCUAUCCACCAGGAGAAUAUUUCAUCCAACUUUUGCAAUGAGCAAUUGCUCAUAAAGGUAAAUAAGUUGUAUACCAUCUUAUGCAUGUCAUACGUGUAACAUUUAAUUUGUAUACUGUUGUUUACAUAGCAAUUUCGAUGGGCAAUGUUUUAUCUUUUUUUUACAUGUGUUCCACUUACACAUAAGUAAGUAAGUAACACAGUUUAAUAAAAUUUUCAAUACGUUUUGCGUGUCUUUGGUUAAAUGCUAUGUUUUUGAUUAGGAUAAUAUUACAUGUCGAUGAUAAAAUGAUUUGAAUGCGUUUAACUCGUGAGCAUAGCUCGUCAUUGACAGUGAUAUUGUGACAGUAGCGAUUUGUAACUUAAAUUAAUCAAAAUAUUUUUAAGUGUGUACAUUUCCAAA
RNAcentral lists this long non-coding RNA (2826 nucleotides) under Mytilus galloprovincialis (Mediterranean mussel). The record is from RNAcentral. Lineage: Eukaryota; Metazoa; Mollusca; Bivalvia; Mytilida; Mytilidae.